AUUGAACGCUGGCGGCAGGCCUAACACAUGCAAGUCGAGCGAGCGGCGGACGGGUGAGUAAUGUAUGGGGACCUGCCCGAUAGAGGGGGAUAACUACUGGAAACGGUGGCUAAUACCGCAUACUAUCGGAUGAACCCAUAGGGGAUUAGCGAGUAGGUGGGGUAAAGGAUCACCUAGGCGACGAUCUCUAGCUGGUCUGAGAGGAUGAUCGGCCACACUGGGACUGAGACACGGCCCAGACGCAUAAGGGAGGGAGCAGUGGGGAAUAUUGCACAAUGGGCGAAAGCCUGAUGCAGCCAUGCCGCGUGUAUGAAGAAGGCCUUAGGAUAGUAAAGUACUUUCAGCGGAGAGGCGGUACCCGCAGAAGAAGCAACGGCUAACUCCGUGCCAGCAGCCGCGGUAAUAC
This 406-nucleotide ribosomal RNA is filed under the name uncultured bacterium. RNAcentral describes it as "partial 16S ribosomal RNA". It matches the Rfam family "Bacterial small subunit ribosomal RNA", at positions 29 to 526 of the family's 1533-position model. The record is from RNAcentral.